AAGGUAAUCACAAGGGAUCAUUCUAUCCAUAAAUCAAAGGACUCAAAAUAUGACGCAUCGAGGGUUAACCUAUCAUUUAUGCAAAGUAUUGAAGAUGAUUCACAAUCAUCUAUCAACAGUUUUGAAUCAAAGAAGGUUGAUCAACCUCAAGUCCAUCUAUCAAUGAUAUGAGAUGAGGAAGAAUUCAUCAACCAAGCAAUCAAACUCAAUUCAAAACAUCAAAUGAUCAUCAAAAGAAAAUAAAGUCAUUAAUAAUGAUUUAAUAUUGAUUAAAUAAAGAAAAUAAAAAGAAAAAUGUCAAAGAGGUAACAAAACAUCGAAUAAAAGUCCAAGAAAAAUAUG
RNAcentral lists this long non-coding RNA (342 nucleotides) under Lathyrus oleraceus (garden pea). Its description in RNAcentral is "Pisum sativum (pea) long non-coding RNA (PSAT_LNC027893)". The record is from RNAcentral. Lineage: Eukaryota; Viridiplantae; Streptophyta; Magnoliopsida; Fabales; Fabaceae.